ACGUAGGUCCCGAGCGUUGUCCGGAUUUAUUGGGCGUAAAGCGAGCGCAGGCGGUUUGAUAAGUCUGAAGUUAAAGGCUGUGGCUCAACCAUAGUUCGCUUUGGAAACUGUCAAACUUGAGUGCAGAAGGGGGGAGUGGAAUUCCAUGUGUAGCGGUGAAAUGCGUAGAUAUAUGGAGGAACACCGGUGGCGAAAGCGGCUCUCUGGUCUGUAACUGACGCUGAGGCUCGAAAGCGUGGGGAGCGAACAG
RNAcentral lists this ribosomal RNA (250 nucleotides) under uncultured bacterium. RNAcentral's name for it is "partial 16S ribosomal RNA". It matches the Rfam family "Bacterial small subunit ribosomal RNA", at positions 525 to 775 of the family's 1533-position model. The record is from RNAcentral.